This 78-nucleotide small RNA is filed under the name Sinorhizobium meliloti 2011. Its description in RNAcentral is "putative ncRNA". The record is from RNAcentral. Lineage: Bacteria; Pseudomonadati; Pseudomonadota; Alphaproteobacteria; Hyphomicrobiales; Rhizobiaceae.
GUCUCCUUCGCCCCGCUUGCGUGGAGAAGGUCGCGGCAGCGGGAUGAGGGGCGGCGUUCCCUCAUUCCGCUCCAAGGU